AAUCGAAGCAGUGAACUUAAGCCCCAGUAAACGGCGGCCGUAACUAUAACGGUCCUAAGGUAGCGAAAUUCCUUGUCGGGUAAGUUCCGACCCGCACGAAAGGCGUAACGAUUUGGGCACUGUCUCAACAACAGACUCGGUGAAAUUGUAAUUCCGGUGAAGAUGCCGGAUACCUGCGACAGGACGGAAAGACCCCAUGGAGCUUUACUGUAGCUUGACAUUGGGUCUUGGUACUACAUGUACAGGAUAGGUGGGAGGCUUUGAAACCAGGACGCCAGUUUUGGCGGAGCCAUCCUUGGGAUACCACCCUUGUAGUACUGGGACUCUAACCAUAGGCCAUGAAUCUGGUCUUGGGACACUGUCAGGUGGGCAGUUUGACUGGGGCGGUCGCCUCCCAAAAGGUAACGGAGGCGCUCAAAGGUUCUCUCAGUACGGUCGGAAAUCGUACGUAGAGUGUAAAGGCAAAAGAGAGCUUGAUUGCAAGACAUACAGGUCGAGCAAGGAUGAAAAUCGGACUUAGUGAUCCGGUGGUUCGGCGUGGAAGGGCCAUCGCUCAACGGAUAAAAGCUACCCUGGGGAUAACAGGCUUAUCUCCCCCAAGAGUCCACAUCGACGGGGAGGUUUGGCACCUCGAUGUCGGCUCAUCACAUCCUGGGGCUGUAGUAGGUCCCAAGGGUUGGGCUGUUCGCCCAUUAAAGUGGUACGCGAGCUGGGUUCAGAACGUCGUGAGACAGUUCGGUCCCUAUCCGUCGCAGGCGUAGGAAAUUUGAGAAGACCUGUCCUUAGUACGAGAGGACCGGGAUGGACGUACCUCUGGUGUACCAGUUGU
Molecule: ribosomal RNA, 829 nt
Filed under: Clostridioides difficile
Lineage: Bacteria; Bacillati; Bacillota; Clostridia; Peptostreptococcales; Peptostreptococcaceae
Description: bacterial LSU rRNA
Rfam family: Bacterial large subunit ribosomal RNA
Source: RNAcentral